This 465-nucleotide ribosomal RNA is filed under the name Vreelandella stevensii. RNAcentral describes it as "partial 16S ribosomal RNA". It matches the Rfam family "Bacterial small subunit ribosomal RNA", at positions 338 to 795 of the family's 1533-position model. Lineage: Bacteria; Pseudomonadati; Pseudomonadota; Gammaproteobacteria; Oceanospirillales; Halomonadaceae. The record is from RNAcentral.
CCUACGGGAGGCAUCAGUGGGGAAUAUUGGACAAUGGGGGCAACCCUGAUCCAGCCAUGCCGCGUGUGUGAAGAAGGCCCUCGGGUUGUAAAGCACUUUCAGUGAGGAAGAACGCCUGGUGGUUAAUACCCAUCAGGAAAGACAUCACUCACAGAAGAAGCACCGGCUAACUCCGUGCCAGCAGCCGCGGUAAUACGGAGGGUGCGAGCGUUAAUCGGAAUUACUGGGCGUAAAGCGCGCGUAGGUGGCUUGAUAAGCCGGUUGUGAAAGCCCCGGGCUCAACCUGGGAACGGCAUCCGGAACUGUCAAGCUAGAGUGCAGGAGAGGAAGGUAGAAUUCCCGGUGUAGCGGUGAAAUGCGUAGAGAUCGGGAGGAAUACCAGUGGCGAAGGCGGCCUUCUGGACUGACACUGACACUGAGGUGCGAAAGCGUGGGUAGCAAACAGGAUUAGAUACCCGAGUAGUC